This 711-nucleotide ribosomal RNA is filed under the name uncultured organism. Its description in RNAcentral is "bacterial SSU rRNA". It matches the Rfam family "Bacterial small subunit ribosomal RNA", at positions 703 to 1429 of the family's 1533-position model. The record is from RNAcentral.
GGAACACCAGUGGCGGAGACGGUUCCCUGGGGCACACCGGACGCUGAGAGACGAAAGCUAGGGGAGCGAACAGGAUUAGAGACCCUGGUAGUCCUAGCCCUAAACGAUGAAUGCUAGGUGUGGGAUCGAAUGGUUCCGUGCCGGAGCGAACGCGAUAAGCAUUCCGCCUGGGGAGUACGGCCGCAAGGUUAAAACUCAAACGAAUUGACGGGGCCCCGCACAAGCAGCGGAGCGUGUGGUUUAAUUCGAUGCUACACGAAGAACCUUACCUGGGUUUGACAUGUAGGUGGUAGUGAAUCGAAAGGUGAACGACCCUUCGGGGAGCCUACACAGGUGCUGCAUGGCUGUCGUCAGCUCGUGCCGUGAGGUGUCGGGUUAAGUCCCGUAACGAGCGCAACCCUUGCUCCUAGUUACAAGUGUCUAGGGGGACUGCCGGCGGAAAGCCGGAGGAAGGUGGGGAUGACGUCAAGUCAGCAUGGCCCUUAUAUCCAGGGCUACACACACGCUACAAUGGUCGGUACAAAGGGCAGCGAAACCGCGAGGCGGAGCGAAUCCGAGAAAAGCCGAUCGUAGUUCGGAUAGCAGGCUGCAACCCGCCUGCUUGAAGCUGGAGUUGCUAGUAACCGCGCGUCAGCCAUAGCGCGGUGAUACGUUCCCGGGGCUUGUACACACCGCCCGUCACGUCAUGGGAGUCGGUAACGCCUGAAGCCG